GACAGUUGCAAAGAAUUCCCGAUGGGAUCCAAGGCGGCGCGUCUUGGAGAUGCCUUGUAACCGAAAUUAAAGGGGGAAACAAUUAAG
RNAcentral lists this small RNA (87 nucleotides) under Lacticaseibacillus camelliae. Its description in RNAcentral is "Lactobacillus camelliae SAM-III sequence". It matches the Rfam family "SAM-III riboswitch aptamer (SMK box)". The record is from RNAcentral. Lineage: Bacteria; Bacillati; Bacillota; Bacilli; Lactobacillales; Lactobacillaceae. RNAcentral also lists the same sequence under 1 other name.